This 517-nucleotide ribosomal RNA is filed under the name Clostridioides difficile. Its description in RNAcentral is "bacterial SSU rRNA". It matches the Rfam family "Bacterial small subunit ribosomal RNA", at positions 925 to 1441 of the family's 1533-position model. Lineage: Bacteria; Bacillati; Bacillota; Clostridia; Peptostreptococcales; Peptostreptococcaceae. The record is from RNAcentral.
ACAAGUAGCGGAGCAUGUGGUUUAAUUCGAAGCAACGCGAAGAACCUUACCUAAGCUUGACAUCCCAAUGACAUCUCCUUAAUCGGAGAGUUCUCUUCGGGGACAUUGGUGACAGGUGGUGCAUGGUUGUCGUCAGCUCGUGUCGUGAGAUGUUGGGUUAAGUCCCGCAACGAGCGCAACCCUUGUCUUUAGUUGCCAUCAUUAAGUUGGGCACUCUAGAGAGACUGCCAGGGAUAACCUGGAGGAAGGUGGGGAUGACGUCAAAUCAUCAUGCCCCUUAUGCUUAGGGCUACACACGUGCUACAAUGGGUAGUACAGAGGGUUGCCAAGCCGUAAGGUGGAGCUAAUCCCUUAAAGCUACUCUCAGUUCGGAUUGUAGGCUGAAACUCGCCUACAUGAAGCUGGAGUUACUAGUAAUCGCAGAUCAGAAUGCUGCGGUGAAUGCGUUCCCGGGUCUUGUACACACCGCCCGUCACACCACGGGAGUUGGAGACGCCCGAAGCCGAUUAUCUAACCU